Molecule: ribosomal RNA, 400 nt
Filed under: uncultured Verrucomicrobiota bacterium
Lineage: Bacteria; Pseudomonadati; Verrucomicrobiota
Description: bacterial SSU rRNA
Rfam family: Bacterial small subunit ribosomal RNA
Source: RNAcentral
GCGGCCUAUCAGCUUGUUGGCGAGGUAAAAGCUCACCAAGGCUAAGACGGGUAGCUGGUCUGAGAGGACGACCAGCCACACUGGAACUGAGACACGGUCCAGACACCUACGGGUGGCAGCAGUCGAGAAUUUUUCUCAAUGGGCGAAAGCCUGAAGGAGCGACGCCGCGUGGGGGAUGAAUGGCUUCGGCCCGUAAACCCCUGUCAUUUGCGAACAAAUUGACUCACCUAACACGUGUGUCAUUGAUUGUAGCGGAAGAGGAAGGGACGGCUAACUCUGUGCCAGCAGCCGCGGUAAUACAGAGGUCCCAAGCGUUGUUCGGAUUCACUGGGCGUAAAGGGUGCGUAGGCGGUUGGGUAAGUCUGACGUGAAAUCUCCGGGCCUAACCCGGAAACUGCGU